CCCGCUGAACUUAAGCAUAUCAAUAAGCGGAGGAAAAGAAACCAACCGGGAUUCCCUUAGUAACGGCGAGUGAAGCGGGAAAAGCUCAAAUUUGAAAUCUGGCAGGCUUGUUUCUGUCCGAAUUGUAGUUUCAAGGAACGUUUUCGCUGAUUGUAGGUGUGUAAGUCUGUUGGAAUACAGCACCAUGGAGGGUGAGGGUCCCGUGUCUGCACUAAACAAUCCGGCAUAUGUUACGUCUCCAAAGAGUCGCAUAGUUUGAGAAUGCUGUGCAAAGAUGGGUGAUAAAUAUCAUCUAAAGCUAAAUACUGGCGAGAGACCGAUAGCGAACAAGUACCGUGAGGGAAAGUUGCAAAGAACUUUGAAAAGAGAGUUAAACAGUACGUGAAAUUGUCCAAAGGGAAAUGUUGAAACACCCUCGCACGGGGCGCAGUCAUCAGCUCUUCUUAACCGGAGGGUGCAUUGGCUCGUUGCUCUGGCUGAAGAUCGGUUUGAAUUGCGGUAAAAAACUUGUGGAAGGUAGCUUCUUUUUGAAGUGUUAUAGCCACUAGACUAUGCCGUGGUUUGGACCGAAGACUUUGCUGUCGUCUUGGGGAAGCAUACCGCCUUGAAGGGGCCGUUUGUAGACAACCUGGUUGAUUACAGAUGGUGUUCUGAUAGCACGGUUGUGUACCACUUACGCACAUAGGAUCUUCAGAGAACGGUUUUCAGCAACCCGUCUUGAAACACGG
Molecule: ribosomal RNA, 728 nt
Filed under: uncultured fungus
Lineage: Eukaryota; Fungi
Description: eukaryotic LSU rRNA
Rfam family: Eukaryotic large subunit ribosomal RNA
Source: RNAcentral